This 253-nucleotide long non-coding RNA is filed under the name Hordeum vulgare. RNAcentral describes it as "long non-coding RNA (HVUL_LNC010107)". Lineage: Eukaryota; Viridiplantae; Streptophyta; Magnoliopsida; Poales; Poaceae. The record is from RNAcentral.
CAUCGCCAAUCCCAUGAUGCUCUUCAUUGUUCGUGAGUAAUCACAUCGUAGGCUUGCUGGACGGUGAUGGGUUGGAUGAGAUCUAUCAUGUAAUAGAGUUAGUUUCGGUGGGGAUUGAUCCCUAGUAUCCACUAUGUUCUGAGAUUGAUGUUGCUACUACUUUGCCAUGAUUAAUGCUUGUCACUAGGGCCCGAGUGCCAUGAUUUCAGAUCUGAACCUAUUAUGUUGUCGUCAAUAUAUGUGUGUUCUUGAU